RNAcentral lists this ribosomal RNA (2905 nucleotides) under Escherichia coli. Its description in RNAcentral is "23S ribosomal RNA". It matches the Rfam family "Bacterial large subunit ribosomal RNA". The record is from RNAcentral. Lineage: Bacteria; Pseudomonadati; Pseudomonadota; Gammaproteobacteria; Enterobacterales; Enterobacteriaceae.
GGUUAAGCGACUAAGCGUACACGGUGGAUGCCCUGGCAGUCAGAGGCGAUGAAGGACGUGCUAAUCUGCGAUAAGCGUCGGUAAGGUGAUAUGAACCGUUAUAACCGGCGAUUUCCGAAUGGGGAAACCCAGUGUGUUUCGACACACUAUCAUUAACUGAAUCCAUAGGUUAAUGAGGCGAACCGGGGGAACUGAAACAUCUAAGUACCCCGAGGAAAAGAAAUCAACCGAGAUUCCCCCAGUAGCGGCGAGCGAACGGGGAGGAGCCCAGAGCCUGAAUCAGUGUGUGUGUUAGUGGAAGCGUCUGGAAAGGCGCGCGAUACAGGGUGACAGCCCCGUACACAAAAAUGCACAUGCUGUGAGCUCGAUGAGUAGGGCGGGACACGUGGUAUCCUGUCUGAAUAUGGGGGGACCAUCCUCCAAGGCUAAAUACUCCUGACUGACCGAUAGUGAACCAGUACCGUGAGGGAAAGGCGAAAAGAACCCCGGCGAGGGGAGUGAAAAAGAACCUGAAACCGUGUACGUACAAGCAGUGGGAGCACAGAGCAAUCUGUGUGACUGCGUACCUUUUGUAUAAUGGGUCAGCGACUUAUAUUCUGUAGCAAGGUUAACCGAAUAGGGGAGCCGAAGGGAAACCGAGUCUUAACUGGGCGUUAAGUUGCAGGGUAUAGACCCGAAACCCGGUGAUCUAGCCAUGGGCAGGUUGAAGGUUGGGUAACACUAACUGGAGGACCGAACCGACUAAUGUUGAAAAAUUAGCGGAUGACUUGUGGCUGGGGGUGAAAGGCCAAUCAAACCGGGAGAUAGCUGGUUCUCCCCGAAAGCUAUUUAGGUAGCGCCUCGUGAAUUCAUCUCCGGGGGUAGAGCACUGUUUCGGCAAGGGGGUCAUCCCGACUUACCAACCCGAUGCAAACUGCGAAUACCGGAGAAUGUUAUCACGGGAGACACACGGCGGGUGCUAACGUCCGUCGUGAAGAGGGAAACAACCCAGACCGCCAGCUAAGGUCCCAAAGUCAUGGUUAAGUGGGAAACGAUGUGGGAAGGCCCAGACAGCCAGGAUGUUGGCUUAGAAGCAGCCAUCAUUUAAAGAAAGCGUAAUAGCUCACUGGUCGAGUCGGCCUGCGCGGAAGAUGUAACGGGGCUAAACCAUGCACCGAAGCUGCGGCAGCGACACUGUGUGUUGUUGGGUAGGGGAGCGUUCUGUAAGCCUGUGAAGGUGUGCUGUGAGGCAUGCUGGAGGUAUCAGAAGUGCGAAUGCUGACAUAAGUAACGAUAAAGCGGGUGAAAAGCCCGCUCGCCGGAAGACCAAGGGUUCCUGUCCAACGUUAAUCGGGGCAGGGUGAGUCGACCCCUAAGGCGAGGCCGAAAGGCGUAGUCGAUGGGAAACAGGUUAAUAUUCCUGUACUUGGUGUUACUGCGAAGGGGGGACGGAGAAGGCUAUGUUGGCCGGGCGACGGUUGUCCCGGUUUAAGCGUGUAGGCUGGUUUUCCAGGCAAAUCCGGAAAAUCAAGGCUGAGGCGUGAUGACGAGGCACUACGGUGCUGAAGCAACAAAUGCCCUGCUUCCAGGAAAAGCCUCUAAGCAUCAGGUAACAUCAAAUCGUACCCCAAACCGACACAGGUGGUCAGGUAGAGAAUACCAAGGCGCUUGAGAGAACUCGGGUGAAGGAACUAGGCAAAAUGGUGCCGUAACUUCGGGAGAAGGCACGCUGAUAUGUAGGUGAAGUCCCUCGCGGAUGGAGCUGAAAUCAGUCGAAGAUACCAGCUGGCUGCAACUGUUUAUUAAAAACACAGCACUGUGCAAACACGAAAGUGGACGUAUACGGUGUGACGCCUGCCCGGUGCCGGAAGGUUAAUUGAUGGGGUCAGCGCAAGCGAAGCUCUUGAUCGAAGCCCCGGUAAACGGCGGCCGUAACUAUAACGGUCCUAAGGUAGCGAAAUUCCUUGUCGGGUAAGUUCCGACCUGCACGAAUGGCGUAAUGAUGGCCAGGCUGUCUCCACCCGAGACUCAGUGAAAUUGAACUCGCUGUGAAGAUGCAGUGUACCCGCGGCAAGACGGAAAGACCCCGUGAACCUUUACUAUAGCUUGACACUGAACAUUGAGCCUUGAUGUGUAGGAUAGGUGGGAGGCUUUGAAGUGUGGACGCCAGUCUGCAUGGAGCCGACCUUGAAAUACCACCCUUUAAUGUUUGAUGUUCUAACGUGGACCCGUGAUCCGGGUUGCGGACAGUGUCUGGUGGGUAGUUUGACUGGGGCGGUCUCCUCCUAAAGAGUAACGGAGGAGCACGAAGGUUGGCUAAUCCCGGUCGGACAUCAGGAGGUUAGUGCAAUGGCAUAAGCCAGCUUGACUGCGAGCGUGACGGCGCGAGCAGGUGCGAAAGCAGGUCAUAGUGAUCCGGUGGUUCUGAAUGGAAGGGCCAUCGCUCAACGGAUAAAAGGUACUCCGGGGAUAACAGGCUGAUACCGCCCAAGAGUUCAUAUCGACGGCGGUGUUUGGCACCUCGAUGUCGGCUCAUCACAUCCUGGGGCUGAAGUAGGUCCCAAGGGUAUGGCUGUUCGCCAUUUAAAGUGGUACGCGAGCUGGGUUUAGAACGUCGUGAGACAGUUCGGUCCCUAUCUGCCGUGGGCGCUGGAGAACUGAGGGGGGCUGCUCCUAGUACGAGAGGACCGGAGUGGACGCAUCACUGGUGUUCGGGUUGUCAUGCCAAUGGCACUGCCCGGUAGCUAAAUGCGGAAGAGAUAAGUGCUGAAAGCAUCUAAGCACGAAACUUGCCCCGAGAUGAGUUCUCCCUGACCCUUUAAGGGUCCUGAAGGAACGUUGAAGACGACGACGUUGAUAGGCCGGGUGUGUAAGCGCAGCGAUGCGUUGAGCUAACCGGUACUAAUGAACCGUGAGGCUUAACCUU